UCCGAGUUGUCCCCGGCAGUCCCUUUAGAGUCCCCGGCAUUACCCGCUGGCAACUAAAGGCAGGGGUUGCGCUCGUUGCGGCACUUAAGCCUACCCCUCACGACACGAGCUGACGACAGCCAUGCAGCACCUGUGCACGAUCUCCGAAGAGGGGCUCUCGUUUCUGAGAGCUUGCUCGUACAUGUCAAGGCCUGGUAAGGUUCUUCGCGUUGCUUCGAAUUAAACCACAUGCUCCACCGCUUGUGCGGGCCCCCGUCAAUUCAUUUGAGUUUUAACCUUGCGGCCGUACUCCCCAGGCGGUCAACUUAAUGCGUUAGCUGCGCCACUAAGAGCUCAAGGCUCCCAACGGCUAGUUGACAUCGUUUACGGCGUGGACUAC
Molecule: unclassified non-coding RNA, 379 nt
Filed under: uncultured Gammaproteobacteria bacterium
Lineage: Bacteria; Pseudomonadati; Pseudomonadota; Gammaproteobacteria
Description: contains 16S-23S intergenic spacer region
Source: RNAcentral